This 404-nucleotide ribosomal RNA is filed under the name uncultured bacterium. RNAcentral's name for it is "partial 16S ribosomal RNA". It matches the Rfam family "Bacterial small subunit ribosomal RNA", at positions 28 to 526 of the family's 1533-position model. The record is from RNAcentral.
GAUGAACGCUGACAGAAUGCUUAACACAUGCAAGUCAACUGUGGCUGACGGGUGAGUAACGCGUAAAGAACUUGCCUCACAGAUAGGAACCACCUUUGGAAACGAAGGCUAAAACCUGAUACUGUGAGAGAGCUUUGCGUACCAUUAGCUAGUUGGAGAGGUAACGGCUCACCAAGGCGAGGAUGGUUAGCCGGCCUGAGAGGGUGAUCGGCCACAAGGGGAAUGAGACACGGCCCUGACUCCUACGGGGGGCAGCAGUGGGGAAUGAUGGACAAUGGACCAAAAGCUGAUACAGCAAUGCUGUGUGCACGAUGAAGUUUUCGGAAUGUAGAGUGUCUUCAGUUGGGAAGCAGUACCAACAGAAGAAGUGACGGCUAAAUACGUGCCAGCAGCCGCGGUAAUUC